GAGAUCACCGCUAUUAGGAUACGCUUAAGCCAUGCGAGUCAAAGAGCAAUCUUGGCGCACCGCUCAGUAACACGUGGACAAUCUACCCUUCGGUGGGGGAUAAUCUUGGGAAACUGAGGAUAAUACCCCAUAGGUCUAGGAUGCUGGAAUGCUUCUAAGCUGAAAGUUUCGACGCCGAAGGAUGAGUCUGCGGCCUAUCAGGUUGUAGCAAGUGUGAUGCACUUGUUAGCCUACAACGGGUACGGGCCAUGAGAGUGGUUGCCCGGAGAUGGACUCUGAGACACGAGUCCAGGCCCUACGGGGCGCAGCAGGCGCGAAAACUUCGCAAUGUGCGCAAGCACGACGAGGGAAUCCUAAGUGCCUAUGCUUUGCAUAGGCUGUUCUCCUGUCUAAAAAACAGGGGGAGUAAGGGCUGGGUAAGACGGGUGCCAGCCGCCGCGGUAAUACCCGCAGCCCAAGUGGUGAUCGUUAUUAUUGGGUCUAAAACGUCCGUAGCUGAUCUAGUAAAUUCCUGGGUAAAUCGAAUUGCUUAACAAUUCGAAUUCCGGGUAGACUGCUAGACUUGGGACCGGAAGAGGUCAGAAGUACUUCUGGGGUAGGGGUAAAAUCCUGUAAUCCUGGAGGGACUAUCAGUGGCGAAAUUUCG
RNAcentral lists this ribosomal RNA (646 nucleotides) under uncultured archaeon. RNAcentral describes it as "bacterial SSU rRNA". It matches the Rfam family "Archaeal small subunit ribosomal RNA", at positions 20 to 677 of the family's 1478-position model. The record is from RNAcentral.